Fundulus heteroclitus (mummichog) is the source of this 296-nucleotide long non-coding RNA. RefSeq lists it as uncharacterized. NCBI's taxonomy places the organism in Eukaryota, Metazoa, Chordata, Actinopteri, Cyprinodontiformes, Fundulidae. The record is from RefSeq and is a predicted model, not a curated record. The transcript is spliced from 3 exons.
CUGGAGCAAUAUGCUGAAAACCGAUCCUUCAAAGAGUGGAAAGAAAAGUUUGAUAAAGAUCUGGUGGAAGACAUGGAAAAGAAAAGGAGAAGCUUCUACAGUGAAAACACGGUGGGAUUACUGCGCUUCAUCCGCAACCUUUGUGAGCACCGUUACAAAGAGGCUUCUACAAUCAACAUCUUGGCUUUGUUUCCUGAUCUCUUCGAAUGUGUUUACACAUUUGCAAAAAUCCAAGGCUGGAAUGAAGAGGCACCUUUAAAGGAGAUGUUCCCGCCUCCAGUAAAAGCUCGGCACGA